This 730-nucleotide ribosomal RNA is filed under the name uncultured bacterium. RNAcentral describes it as "bacterial SSU rRNA". It matches the Rfam family "Bacterial small subunit ribosomal RNA", at positions 771 to 1501 of the family's 1533-position model. The record is from RNAcentral.
AACAGGAUUAGAUACCCUGGUAGUCCACGCCGUAAACGAUGUCGACUUGGAGGUUGUUCCCUUGAGGAGUGGCUUCCGGAGCUAACGCGUUAAGUCGACCGCCUGGGGAGUACGGCCGCAAGGUUAAAACUCAAAUGAAUUGACGGGGGCCCGCACAAGCGGUGGAGCAUGUGGUUUAAUUCGAUGCAACGCGAAGAACCUUACCUACUCUUGACAUCCAGAGAACUUAGCAGAGAUGCUUUGGUGCCUUCGGGAACUCUGAGACAGGUGCUGCAUGGCUGUCGUCAGCUCGUGUUGUGAAAUGUUGGGUUAAGUCCCGCAACGAGCGCAACCCUUAUCCUUUGUUGCCAGCGGUUCGGCCGGGAACUCAAAGGAGACUGCCAGUGAUAAACUGGAGGAAGGUGGGGAUGACGUCAAGUCAUCAUGGCCCUUACGAGUAGGGCUACACACGUGCUACAAUGGCGCAUACAAAGAGAAGCGACCUCGCGAGAGCAAGCGGACCUCAUAAAGUGCGUCGUAGUCCGGAUCGGAGUCUGCAACUCGACUCCGUGAAGUCGGAAUCGCUAGUAAUCGUAGAUCAGAAUGCUACGGUGAAUACGUUCCCGGGCCUUGUGCACACCGCCCGUCACACCAUGGGAGUGGGUUGCAAAAGAAGUAGGUAGCUUAACCUUCGGGAGGGCGCUUACCACUUUGUGAUUCAUGACUGGGGUGAAGUCGUAACAAGGUAACC